UAUAACGCUACAAUUUGUGCGCUUAAUAAACCUUUCAAAUUAACAUUUGGAAUUGCUAUUUCUUUGAAAUAUAUAUAGCAUGUUAUGAAAACGGCCGUUCGGUGAUUCAUAGACAGGAUGAUAAAUGUUUGAAGGCACGAUUAAGGAGAUUUGGAGUAACCGAUCGGAUCUUGACGGGACCUAAAUAUAUUCAGAUAUAAAGCAUAAUAUUAUAUUGUCUGGCAGAACGGCAGGCGAGUUGUUGUUGCUGACAUUUCUG
Paramuricea clavata is the source of this 259-nucleotide non-coding RNA. The record is from the annotation of a GenBank genome assembly. NCBI's taxonomy places the organism in Eukaryota, Metazoa, Cnidaria, Anthozoa, Malacalcyonacea, Plexauridae.